RNAcentral lists this ribosomal RNA (253 nucleotides) under uncultured bacterium. RNAcentral describes it as "partial 16S ribosomal RNA". It matches the Rfam family "Bacterial small subunit ribosomal RNA", at positions 524 to 776 of the family's 1533-position model. The record is from RNAcentral.
UACGUAGGGUGCAGGCGUUAAUCGGAAUUACUGGGCGUAAAGCGUGCGCAGGCGGUUUUGUAAGCCAGAUGUGAAAUCCCCGGGCUUAACCUGGGAAUGGCAUUUGGGACUGCAAGGCUUGAGUGCGGCAGAGGAGACUAGAAUUCCUGGUGUAGCAGUGAAAUGCGUAGAUAUCAGGAGGAAUACCGAUGGCGAAGGCAGGUCUCUGGGCUGACACUGACGCUCAUGCACGAAAGCGUGGGGAGCAAACAGG